This 685-nucleotide ribosomal RNA is filed under the name Streptomyces sp. M3_19. RNAcentral describes it as "bacterial SSU rRNA". It matches the Rfam family "Bacterial small subunit ribosomal RNA", at positions 98 to 797 of the family's 1533-position model. The record is from RNAcentral. RNAcentral also lists the same sequence under 7 other names. Lineage: Bacteria; Bacillati; Actinomycetota; Actinomycetes; Kitasatosporales; Streptomycetaceae.
GCGAACGGGUGAGUAACACGUGGGCAAUCUGCCCUUCACUCUGGGACAAGCCCUGGAAACGGGGUCUAAUACCGGAUAACACUCUGUCCCGCAUGGGACGGGGUUAAAAGCUCCGGCGGUGAAGGAUGAGCCCGCGGCCUAUCAGCUUGUUGGUGGGGUAAUGGCCUACCAAGGCGACGACGGGUAGCCGGCCUGAGAGGGCGACCGGCCACACUGGGACUGAGACACGGCCCAGACUCCUACGGGAGGCAGCAGUGGGGAAUAUUGCACAAUGGGCGAAAGCCUGAUGCAGCGACGCCGCGUGAGGGAUGACGGCCUUCGGGUUGUAAACCUCUUUCAGCAGGGAAGAAGCGAAAGUGACGGUACCUGCAGAAGAAGCGCCGGCUAACUACGUGCCAGCAGCCGCGGUAAUACGUAGGGCGCAAGCGUUGUCCGGAAUUAUUGGGCGUAAAGAGCUCGUAGGCGGCUUGUCACGUCGGAUGUGAAAGCCCGGGGCUUAACCCCGGGUCUGCAUUCGAUACGGGCUAGCUAGAGUGUGGUAGGGGAGAUCGGAAUUCCUGGUGUAGCGGUGAAAUGCGCAGAUAUCAGGAGGAACACCGGUGGCGAAGGCGGAUCUCUGGGCCAUUACUGACGCUGAGGAGCGAAAGCGUGGGGAGCGAACAGGAUUAGAUACCCUGGUAGUCCA